GAAUUCAAGGUACCGAGAAUUUUGUGCGACGGUGAGUACGCGUGGUACCUCCCAACAGACCGGACAACACUGGAAACGAGUGCUAAUACCGGAUACCCUAGGAUUUGGCAUCGGAGACUUAGGAAAGGUGGCCUCUAUUAUAAGCUACCGUUGUAGGAUGGACCCGCGUCUGAUUAGCUAGUGGUGGGGUAACGGCCUACCAAGGCGACGAUCAGUAGCCGGCCUGAGAGGGUGAACGGCCACACUGGGACUGAGACACGGCCCAGACUCCUACGGGAGGCAGCAGUGGGGAAUCUUCCGCAAUGGACGAAAGUCUGACGGAGCAACGCCGCGUGUAUGAUGAAGGCCUUCGGGUUGUAAAGUACUGUCUUUGGGGAAGAAUGGUCGGUAGAAAAUAUGUAGCGACA
This 407-nucleotide ribosomal RNA is filed under the name uncultured Bacillota bacterium. RNAcentral's name for it is "bacterial SSU rRNA". It matches the Rfam family "Bacterial small subunit ribosomal RNA", at positions 70 to 474 of the family's 1533-position model. The record is from RNAcentral. Lineage: Bacteria; Bacillati; Bacillota.